AGAGUUUUAGUUUUCCCUUAUGGACGGAAUCUAAGACUUUUUGGCUAGUAUAUAAACACCGGUCCCUGCUAACCCUAGACACGACAACUAAGGCUUCCCAUAGAGCAUUGUCAUAAAGCUAGGAGUUUACAGAAGAGUUGGUGUUUCUGUUUGUCACGGCAAACAUAAAGAUUGGAGUUUUAUCGAUGACGUCUUGCUUGCAUGGCUACUGCAUCUUCGGUAACUACCAUUGGAAUCAGGUCAGUCACUCUUCGUUUGUGUUUUAAUUGUAUAACCUUAUAAGGCUAACAAUUGGUAUCAGAGUCACUGGUUAUAUGAUUAAAACCUAUUAGGUUUAAUAUUGGAUUAUAUAAUAUUAUGUGUUUAAUCCAAGUUAUUACAUAUACUCGGCAACAUCACCAUGCUGUUUAAAUCAGUUUCAACAUAGCCUUUGCUUGCCAUUGGAAAUUGGACUACGCUUAGAGGCUCUUUUGAUCAAGCAUGAAUUAAAUUAUAGAAUUGAAGAAUGAAAUUUAAAAAUCAUAUAGGAAUUGGAAUCCUAUAAUGAUAUAGGUACGUAAAGAAGCAUAUAUGUAAGGCGUAGUAUUAUUUUUAAAGUAUUUUACAGUGGGAACUCUAUUAUUCUUUUAACUAGCAGCAAGUCGUUAAGUUUCCUUUGCUCCAAAUGUUAAAAGUUUUAAAUGGGAGGGUUCUAUGAUGAAUAGCUCAAAUUCAUGGAAAUCAGUGUGUUUGGAAAAGGUUGAAUUUUUACUGGAUAAGGUAAAUGUCUCGGACAACGUAUUGGAGGUUCUUUGCAACCUGCUCAGGUUCAGAAUUCCAACUCUGAACAAAGCAGCAACCAAAUAUAACAGGAAAUAAUCGCUUGUGUUGGAAAAUUGCAUGCGCAUGCAAUUUCUAAGACUAAUUAUAUACAAGGUUUACAUGUAAAAUUUUUAUCAUGACACUUGUAUUUUACGUGUGUUUGCUUGAUCAACAAAAGCCAAUUUGAUUAGUCAAAAUAGAUUACCACCAAUAGUUCUGAUAAAGAAAUGACUAAGAAAGUUUGAUUAGCGUCAGUUUAUUGGAUUAACAACGAUUGAAAAUCAUGGAAUAUUUCAGAGUUUCUAUUUCAAUUUUCAUGCUAAUGUUUUGGUUGAUUUACCAUGUGCCACUGAUGAUCUCAAUUUUUGUAAGCAUGCUAUAUUUGUUCUGACCUUACUGAAGAGGCCCUCCGAUUAGCAAGCAGAACGAAGUCAUCUACCAAAGCAAAAUUGUUUGUUUCAUUGACUUUUAAUUUCCAUGAUGGUUUAUGGUAUUUUGGUUGAUAUAUAUUCAAGUUGAUCCCUGAAAGCUUAAAUUGGUAAUAAGAUAAAGAUAUAAUUGCAUGAGUGAUGUGCUAAUUAUUGUAGAGCAUGGACAUACAAUGAUUACCAUGUAUCGGUUAAGUAUGUCAUGAAUAUGGAUCCAAUUAUUAUAUAUUUUGGCAAUACGUAUCUAAAUUGGCAUAUGCUUAUUGAAUAAGAACUAAUAUUAUUUUCCAUGAAUUGCAUUCUAUAUGAAUUGCUACGAGUGAUACGUUAAUGCGACAAGAAACAAUUGCAUAAGUGCCAGCAAUUGUUGGAUCAAGCAAGUAUAUAUAAUUUUCUAAAGCCAAUUAUGCAUCUACAGUUCGCAUAGCAGGUAUAUGUAUUUACAUUUGUUCUAACCUUGCAUUGGAGAAUUUCUUAAGAUUCCUCAGUGGAACAAGCCCAAUGAAGAGGUUCGUAUUACAUCGGUAUAUGAAAUUCUGGUAUGAUCUUUCCUUUUGGUCUUCAUGAUAAAUUAUAUAAGGAAUGGUUAUGUUGGAUUCAUGAAGUGUUAUAUUGUUCUUGCAAAAUCCAACCAUCUCGUGACGUCCUUCUGAUUGUAGGAGACAUAAUUAGUCAUAUCCUAUAAUUUAUCAAUACUAUUGGGAUAUGUUAUGCCUAUGAUUGUAAUAACAUAUAUUACAAUAGUGUUGCAGGGAAGCAUACGCUAAGUUUUAUACAUGUCAACUAUAUACAUGUAUGUUAAUGAAUUUGAUAAAAUUCCCAUACAUGAAAGUAAGUCAUAAAGAUUUUGGCAACAUUUGUUAAGCAAAUGGCGUGUAUAGUGUUGCUUGUAUGGCUAAUUUGCUUCAAGCAUGAGAUUACAUAUUUUCAAUAUUGUCGUGGGUUUUGGACUAUAGUGAAUUGUAGUUUUGUUUCCACUAAUUUUCACAAGAUGAGAAUGAACUUUUAUGCCAUUAAUAGCACAAGAAAUAUGCAUGACUAAUCAAUCAGGUUUGUCUACAAUUUGCUUUCUUAUCUCAAUAGUCAUUUAAAUUAUACAUGACUAGUUAACUAUAAAAAUUGAUUUAUAAUUUGUGGAUUGACUGAGAAUGACAGAAAGCGUCCAGUGACAAGAACAAGGGUAUUAUACAAAUGAAUAAGGUUUGUAGUAGUUAUGUGACAGUUCUCAUUUAUAUUUUUAUUCUUAUAUGAGAAUUUUGGUUGGUCAUGUGAUUUUAUAUAUGUUUACAAAGAAGUGGUGAAUAUAUGAAGGCAUGAGGUAUGUAAUCCAUUCAAAGUAUGUGGCUUAAUUGACAAACAUGAAUUUUCAAACAUGUAUUAUUGUUUGUGGUUUUUCCUAUGCCUAAAGAAUUUAAACAGUGCUUUGAUUAGUAGUUUUUAUAUGCCAUAAGGGGAGAAGAAAAGAAACUUUUCAAGGCUAAUGUAGGGCAUAUAUUGGAGAUGUUUUCUAUGGAAGAAAAUAAUUUUGGUUGUUCCUUUUACUUAAUUUGGUAAUUACAAAGCUAAUGCAUGAUUUUAAUGCUCUAUGUUUAGUAGUUUUGUACUACGGAAAGAAAUAUAUAAAAGGAAAGGAACCCGUUUGAUUUGAGUGAUUUAGCUUUUAAAUUAAAGGAAUGUAUUGUUCUUUCCCAUUAAAUAAAGUAUUUCUAUUAAGUAAUUGACUCCAUAAUGAUAAGUAUUGACAUUCUUGUGGUGGAAUAAAACUUGUUCUAUAUGUGAUUAAUCUCUUUCAAGUAUGCUGUCAGGUUUUUUGAGAUUAAUUUAAUGUCAAAAGGAGUCAUGAAGGAAUUAGUGCCAUUUGUUGGCAAGACUCAAAGCUUGAAUCAGAUUAUCAUAAUUUUGUCACUUACAGUUAAUUAAUCCAUGUGACUUCUUGUAUUGUUUCAGGGUGGAGUUGACCAAUGCCUUUUCAACUAAGCAAGACGCAACGGCUUAGUUGACGAUGAGACUAUGUUUUUGAGUUACUUCGGUCAACUUUGCAUCUUAAUUAGAAUAAAAGGGAUAAUCUUCUUGCCUACAGGUGUGGAUUACUUCUUUUAGUUUAAUUAAGAUGGCAUAGUAUGGGUUUUAUUUCACAGAAGUUGUGAAAACCUUCAUCUUGCCUACAGGUGUUGAAGUUUUUCAUGAAGGAACUUUUGUGACAUAAAAUCUAGUACUAGAAACUAGUUAAUUUUCUUGCCUACAGGUGUAAAUUAAUUUAGUUUCAUGAAGUUUAUUGGGAUAAAGUUCCAUGCCAUUAGUGACAAAUAUUUCCACAAUGAGCCCCAUAAAAGGUUGUGGUUUGAAGACAUGGAAAUCAUUUGCAUCAUGAUGUAUUUUGUAUCUCUUCAUGAGACUUGUUGAUGCAAAGUAUUGGACCCAUGAAGGUUAAUCAAUGAUUGCUAAGGUACGCAUUGUUUAAGUCUUAUGCUUGUAAAUCUUUUCAAUUUGAAUUAUGAUGUCGGUUUAGAGGAUGAAAUUUGACUACUAAAGUUUCCUUUGGACAUCGAAAUUGAAAUGAUAUGAAAUUGAAUUUGUUAUGGAUAUAUAAAUUCAUGAUAGAUGCACAUAAUUGUUUCUGGCAGAUUGCGUGUCUUGAUUUAAAUCAGGUGAAUGACACGUCUAAUGAUCACCAAAUGACCUGAAUUUUGGAUAUGUUCAACAUAUAGAUGUCUAUUACGUGUCUACAAAUUUUCGUAAUUUUCUGCCAUGUAUGUUAAUUAUGAUGAAUUUACUAGUAACCCAUGCUCGUAUAGACAGUAUUUACUGACAGAUUGUGUUAGUUCUUUUGAGACGUCACUUUAGACUAUUAUUUGACCCAAAACAGCUCCAUUUUUUAUCUUACGAAGAUUAGUAUGUCUAUUUUGGUCAGUAUCACUUUGGUAGCAAUCAAGCUUGUAAAUUAAUUAUGAUAAAUUCUAAAGUAAGUGUAACUCAUUGCUGAAAUUCUGUUUGACAACUUUAUGUUGGUUGUGAUGUCUAUUUUAUUAUGUCUAAUAUAUAAAGAAAUUUUCUUUAGGUACAUCUUUGAAAGAAUAUAUUAACGAGUGUUUGCCCAAAUGAGAGAAUUAGUGAACGAAAAUUGGGCUUCACACUCAUUAACUUAUUUGCAAGCAUAAACUCUGAUAACUUAGUGGGAGUUGUUCUAAAAUUUUGAGCACUAAGUGGACUUGCAUGAAUCUAUUAAAGCAUUAUUCUAUCUUCCAUGAAUUUGUGUUACUUGAAUGUCUAUAAUAUGUUUAAGUUGCACAAAUGGAUACUUGGUAUAUGCGUACAUUUUCUAUUACUUGCAAUCAUUUAGAUUUCUCGAUUGAUCAUAUUGUUUUGGGGCUCAUAAGGACUUAGCAUAAAUGUGGACUUAUUAAUACAUAUAAGAUGGUUGUUGGAUACAUGUUUUGUGUAACAGCAGUGAAUGUUUUCAAGCUUAGUUGUACCUUUCAUUGAGGUAAUAUGCAUUCAUUGACUAAGUAAGGCUACUCCCAAAGGCAUAUUUUCAAAAGUAUGAUUUAAGUAUUGAUUUGCAAAAUAAGUAACGAUGUUGCAGAUCAGUGGGAGUUUGAGUUUCGUGUUAGUAAUGCUUUACAGUUGCAGAUGACCUAUAAGGUAUGUAUAGAAUCCAUGUAUUCAUAUUAAUCUCCAGUUGGAUUCAUUAAGUCAUAUUUUUCGUGUGCUAGUCAAUCAUCUGAUGAAAUAUAUAUCAGAUUUCAAGUUGUUAUCAAAUUGCAUAUUAAAUGUCAUGGCAUGGUUUGUGCACUACCUCAGUUGUGAGGAUUUCCAUCUUGCCCGCAGGUGUUGGAAAUCACUAUGAAAGUAACUGGUAUGGUGCAUAGAUCAGUGUCAAAAACAUAUUAAUUCAUCUUGCUCACAAGUGUUGAAUUAAUUUGUUUUAUGAAGUUUUGGGAUAUUUUACUUGGACAUGUGCCUAUUUGGUAUUUUCAGUUGUGUCCGUUGGCUACAAACAUUGUUUGUAUUAUUAUUGAUCUAAUGAAAGUGAUGCAUGAUUGUUUUGGAGAUGUAUUCACACCUACAGGUUAUGGUGGUUUCAUUAGAUGAAGGAUAUCUGCAUUGGCAGAUUUAAGGCUUCGAAGAAGCAUAAAGUGUAACUUGUGAGUUACAAUAAGGUGGACCUGAGAUGAUAUAAAGUAAGACAUUUUGGUUAAUUUAAAGUUUAAUUUUAAAGUUUCAUCUCUUGAUCAUAAUUUGUGUUUCAUGUAAAUGAUGAUCUUAGCAUGUGUGAUUAUGAAGGUUCUGGGUUGUGUCAACUCUACAACCUUGUUAGUUCCAUGUUAAGAAAUGCAUUUGACAGAAGCUGCAUUAAGGACGAGAUGUAAUCACUGUUACAUGGCCACUAAAGUGACAUUAGUCUCCAAUCUCAAGUAUAAACAUGAAUAUUACAUUUUGUAGACCAAGUGGGAGAAUGUUGGAUUUAUCCAAUAUAAAUCAACCUUUAAGUGGUCUACUAUAUGUAAUAGGAAUGUAAUAUUGGAGAAUAAUGUUAAUUGUGAUUUGAUCUCUUAAAGAUAUCAAUCUUAUAUAAGGUGUCUUAUAUUGGAAAUAGGAUUGAUGGAAUCCUUAAUAAUAUAUGAUUAUGAUAUUUUACUUGAGAGCCAAGAAAGGAGAGUUUUAGUUUUCCCUUAUGGACGGAAUCUAAGACUUUUUGGCUAGUAUAUAAACACCGGUCCCUGCUAACCCUAGACACGACAACUAAGGCUUCCCAUAGAGCAUUGUCAUAAAGCUAAGAGUUUACAGAAGAGUUGGUGUUUCUGUUUGUCACGGCAAACAUAAAGAUUGGAGUUUUAUCGAUGACGUCUUGCUUGCAUGGCUACUGCAUCUUCGGUAACUACCAUUGGAAUCAGGUCAGUCACUCUUCGUUUGUGUUUUAAUUGUAUAACCUUAUAAGGCUAACAGUAUAUAGGUUCCUAAUUUUCCUCAUGUAAUACUUGAUAGGUUACUAUUUCGAUGAGUUUGAAAAUAAGAUCCAUCUGUAUGUCUUUCAAAACAAAACAAGGCUCCAUUGGCUUGAUUGUUCAACAACCUUUAACAAGCGCAUGCAUAUGCUUACGUGUGGGAUAAAGCAGCACGUGUUGUAUCCGCAACGCGUCGCACAAAUGUGAUGAAGAAUAUCAGGGUUAACUCUAUACCGUACUAGCUAAUCAAAGGAACUAAAACAAAUCUGGAAAUUUUGAAUUAG
RNAcentral lists this long non-coding RNA (6459 nucleotides) under Malus domestica (apple). Its description in RNAcentral is "long non-coding RNA (MDOM_LNC006378)". The record is from RNAcentral. Lineage: Eukaryota; Viridiplantae; Streptophyta; Magnoliopsida; Rosales; Rosaceae.